This is a regulatory RNA element of 113 nucleotides. It matches the Rfam family "epsC RNA". The record is from Rfam.
UGGCGAUGUCUCCUUGCCGUUAUCAAUGGAGAUACUCGAUCAUGCUGUGGGUUUUAAACAAACCUUAGACGCUAGUCGUCAAAAGUGUGGUGUGAGGGAGGGUUGAAUGCCCU